UACGGAGGGUGCGAGCGUUGUCCGGAAUCACUGGGCGUAAAGGGCGCGUAGGCGGCCUGAUAAGUAGGGGGUGAAAUCCUGCGGCUUAACCGCAGGGCUGCCUUCUAAACUGUCAGGCUCGAGCACAGUAGAGGCAGGUGGAAUUCCCGGUGUAGCGGUGAAAUGCGCAGAUAUCAGGAAGAACACCCGUGGCGAAGGCGGCCAUCUGGACGGAUACUGACGCUGAGACGCGAAAGCGUGGGUAGCAAACAGG
RNAcentral lists this ribosomal RNA (253 nucleotides) under uncultured bacterium. RNAcentral's name for it is "partial 16S ribosomal RNA". It matches the Rfam family "Bacterial small subunit ribosomal RNA", at positions 524 to 776 of the family's 1533-position model. The record is from RNAcentral.